This 253-nucleotide ribosomal RNA is filed under the name uncultured bacterium. RNAcentral describes it as "partial 16S ribosomal RNA". It matches the Rfam family "Bacterial small subunit ribosomal RNA", at positions 524 to 776 of the family's 1533-position model. The record is from RNAcentral.
UACGCAGGGGGCUAGCGUUGUUCGGAAUCACUGGGCGUAAAGCGCACGCAGGCGGAUCGAUAAGUCGGGGGUGAAAGCCCGGGGCUCAACCUCGGAAUUGCCUUCGAUACUGUCGGUCUCGAGUCCGGGAGAGGUGAGUGGAAUUCCUAGUGUAGAGGUGAAAUUCGUAGAUAUUAGGCAGAACACCAGUGGCGAAGGCGGGUCACUGGCCCGGUACUGACGCUCAGGUGCGAAAGCGUGGGGAGCAAACAGG